AGCUUUGCUCAGUGGCAGCAUCGUAGCCAGUGAGGUUUAUUCGAGGCGUGAUUAUUGCUACUGAAAAAAAGGUAAGCAUGGUGGUGCACACGUGUAAUACUACCAUCAUUCUGGGAGGCUAAAGCAAGAG
This 130-nucleotide small nuclear RNA is filed under the name Chinchilla lanigera (long-tailed chinchilla). Its description in RNAcentral is "U4 spliceosomal RNA (ENSCLAG00000020726.1)". It matches the Rfam family "U4 spliceosomal RNA". Rfam says of the family: U4 small nuclear RNA (U4 snRNA) is a component of the major U2-dependent spliceosome. The structure of U4 snRNA from yeast and human has been reported. Lineage: Eukaryota; Metazoa; Chordata; Mammalia; Rodentia; Chinchillidae. The record is from Rfam by way of RNAcentral.